UUAGUACAACUUUGUGUAAGCUGAGGCACAUCAAGCGUGGGAACUCUUCUGUUGCUUUACUAGAAAUCACGGGAGGCAAAGGUGCUGUCAUUGUUAAUGGCAAGAUUCUUCAAAAAAAUUCAAGUGUAAUUUUAAAUGGAGGUGACGAGGUUGUCUUCACUUCAUCUGGAAAGCAUGCUUAUAUAUUUCAGCAGCUCACUAGUGAUGAUUUUGCUGUUUCCG
Molecule: unclassified non-coding RNA, 222 nt
Filed under: Hevea brasiliensis (rubber tree)
Lineage: Eukaryota; Viridiplantae; Streptophyta; Magnoliopsida; Malpighiales; Euphorbiaceae
Source: RNAcentral